GUUUUUAUAAUUUAACUAAAAUGUCGGUCUUGUAAGCCGAAAAUAGAUUCUAAAAGAAACUUAAAAACA
RNAcentral lists this transfer RNA (69 nucleotides) under Lepas anatifera. RNAcentral's name for it is "tRNA-Thr". It matches the Rfam family "tRNA". Rfam says of the family: Transfer RNA (tRNA) molecules are approximately 80 nucleotides in length. Their secondary structure includes four short double-helical elements and three loops (D, anti-codon, and T loops). The record is from RNAcentral. Lineage: Eukaryota; Metazoa; Arthropoda; Thecostraca; Lepadidae.